AGCUUCAUUUGCUUCUGUUCCAGAAUUCGACAAAAAAACACGGUCUGCAAAAGAAUUAGCAACCAGGCGUUUUGCAAGCUCCAGCUGAGGGAGAGUAUAGUAAAGAUUGCUGACAUGAGUUAAGACAUUAGCUUGUUCAGUAACUGCCCUAAUCCAAUCAGAAUCACCAUGUCCAAGUGCAUUCACAGCUAUACCAGAGGUCAAAUCCAAAUACUCUCGCCCUUCAAUAUCGUACAAUUUACACCCUUUGCCACUCGACAAAACCAAUGGAGCCCUAGCAUAUGUACCCACAAAAACCUUGUUAGAUUCAUCCAUCACCUCUUUGCUCAAAUCCGGUGCCUGCACUUCCACAUUAAGGCUAGCGGCAAUUCUAACUCCGCCGCCGCCGCCGCCGCUGCCAUACCUAACAUUGUUGAAUAAACGGCGGAGAUGGGUAGAACCCGAAACCGAUGAAAAGGAGUUGGUGAGGAAAAAGGUUGAUGAAG
This 485-nucleotide unclassified non-coding RNA is filed under the name Hevea brasiliensis (rubber tree). Lineage: Eukaryota; Viridiplantae; Streptophyta; Magnoliopsida; Malpighiales; Euphorbiaceae. The record is from RNAcentral.